CGCUGGCGGCGCGCCUAACACAUGCAAGUCGAACGAGAAAGAGGGAGCUUGCUCCCUUGAUCGAGUGGCGAACGGGUGAGUAACGCGUGGGUAACCUGCCUUAUACAGGGGGAUAACAGUUGGAAACGACUGCUAAUACCGCAUAAGCGCACGGUAUCGCAUGAUACAGUGUGAAAAACUCCGGUGGUAUAAGAUGGACCCGCGUCUGAUUAGCUUGUUGGUGAGGUAACGGCCCACCAAGGCGACGAUCAGUAGCCGGCCUGAGAGGGUGAACGGCCACAUUGGGACUGAGACACGGCCCAAACUCCUACGGGAGGCAGCAGUGGGGAAUAUUGCACAAUGGGGGAAACCCUGAUGCAGCGACGCCGCGUGAGUGAUGAAGUAUUUCGGUAUGUAAAACUCUAUCAGCAGGGAAGAUAAUGACGGUACCUGACUAAGAAGCACCGGCUAAAUACGUG
This 458-nucleotide ribosomal RNA is filed under the name uncultured bacterium. Its description in RNAcentral is "bacterial SSU rRNA". It matches the Rfam family "Bacterial small subunit ribosomal RNA", at positions 34 to 507 of the family's 1533-position model. The record is from RNAcentral.